RNAcentral lists this ribosomal RNA (88 nucleotides) under Klebsiella pneumoniae. The record is from RNAcentral. Lineage: Bacteria; Pseudomonadati; Pseudomonadota; Gammaproteobacteria; Enterobacterales; Enterobacteriaceae.
CUGACCCCAUGCCGAACUCAGAAGUGAAACGCCGUAGCGCCGAUGGUAGUGUGGGGUCUCCCCAUGUGAGAGUAGGGAUCUGCCAGGC